This 492-nucleotide ribosomal RNA is filed under the name uncultured bacterium. Its description in RNAcentral is "bacterial SSU rRNA". It matches the Rfam family "Bacterial small subunit ribosomal RNA", at positions 32 to 518 of the family's 1533-position model. The record is from RNAcentral.
AACGCUGGCGGUGUGCCUUAUACAUGCAAGUCGAGCGUGCCCGCAAGGGUAUCGCGGCAAACGGGUGAGUAAUAAAUAGGGAAUCUGCCCUCAAGUUCGGGAUAACCAGUCGAAAGAUUGAACAAUACCGGAUAAUGUUGCGGAGGAAAACCUCUGUAAAGAAAGGCGGCGCAAGCUGUCGCUUCUGGAUGAACCUAUUCACUAUCAGCUAGUUGGUGAGGUAAAAAGCUGCACCAAGGCUAUGACGGUUAGCUGGUCUGAGAGGACGGACAGCCACAUUGGGACUGAGACACGGCCCAGACUCCUACGGGAGGCAGCAGUCGGGAAUUUUUGUCAAUGGGCGAAAGCCUGAACGAGCGACACCGCGUGAACGACGAAGAUUCUUAGGAUUGUAAAGUUCUUUUGCUUGAGAAGAACACGGUUGCGACAACAUCAAAACCGUCUGACGGUAUCAAGCGAAUAAGCUCCAGCCAACUACGUGCCAGCAGCCGC